This 76-nucleotide ribosomal RNA is filed under the name Planomonospora parontospora subsp. sphaerica. The record is from RNAcentral. Lineage: Bacteria; Bacillati; Actinomycetota; Actinomycetes; Streptosporangiales; Streptosporangiaceae.
GAACCCGGAAGUUAAGCUCUUCAGCGCCGAUGGUACUGCACUCGGGAGGGUGUGGGAGAGUAGGUCGCCGCCGGAC